AACAUGAUAAUGGAGUGUCCACAUGGUCAACAAUGAUGAUGGGGUAGAUGUUGCUGCCCUCUUAAUGGUUGCAUGGUUGAUGCAUUAUGAUGUCAAUAAAAACACCUGCAAUAGCCAGGAGCUCAGACAGAGCUCCAUGGCUGGCUAAAAGAGUGACAUGAGGAGAACAGCAGAGCAAGCAGAAAACAACAGAUGGACAAGCCCUCUAGCACUGCUACUUUUUCAUAGUCCAAUCAACAAGACAAUAUUCAUCACUGUUUAAAUGUAUAGGGCACUGUCAUCUCACAACAAGACAAAAGAUGUUUGCAUUUUCUCAUGUCCUGCACAAGGGUCAACAAAGUUAGGAUUUGCACUUCUAUACUUCCCAUGUCAAUUAUCCAAACAGAAGACUGUGGCCAAGUCCACAAAGGCCAAGUAAAGUGGACUCAUCUUGCAACGGUUGAAGGAAGUCUCCAUGACAUAUUGCUCGGUUUUCAGCAGGCACUUGAUCUGGCACAAGGAGAAGUGGAAUGUAUUCUGGAACUUCCAAGGAACUCUGGAAUGUUCCCAAUGUUUUGGAGGUGUUCUCUGGAUUGGACUGAAUCCAGUCUCUACAUGAACAAUGGAUCAAUCACUGGAGUCAGUGUUACCUGACUCCAAACCUGAGAAAGUGGGUGAAAGGGGGUAAAAGACAGGGAAAGACAGAAAAAGGAUGCCUAUUCCAGAAGAUUGGAAAAGACUGUAGGGAAAGGGGUAAGACGGUUUCACCCUGCUCAUAUGAUGAAGUCCUAAAUAGGGCCAUGUAACUAACAAACUGUGUGAAAAACA
Molecule: long non-coding RNA, 807 nt
Organism: Anolis carolinensis (green anole)
Lineage: Eukaryota; Metazoa; Chordata; Lepidosauria; Squamata; Anolidae
Exons: 2
Source: RefSeq, a predicted model, not a curated record